RNAcentral lists this ribosomal RNA (440 nucleotides) under uncultured bacterium. RNAcentral's name for it is "partial 16S ribosomal RNA". It matches the Rfam family "Bacterial small subunit ribosomal RNA", at positions 338 to 795 of the family's 1533-position model. The record is from RNAcentral.
CCUACGGGAGGCAGCAGUGGGGAAUAUUGCACAAUGGGGGAAACCCUGAUGCAGCGACGCCGCGUGAGUGAAGAAGUAAUUCGUUAUGUAAAGCUCUAUCAGCAGGGAAGAAAAUGACGGUACCUGAGUAAGAAGCCCCGGCUAACUACGUGCCAGCAGCCGCGGUAAUACGUAGGGGGCAAGCGUUAUCCGGAUGUACUGGGUGUAAAGGGAGCGUAGACGGCAGUGCAAGUCUGGAGUGAAAGGCGGGGGCUCAACCCCCGGACUGCUGUGGAAACUGUACGGCUGGAGUGCAGGAGAGGUAAGUGGAAUUCGUGGUGUAGCGGUGAAAUGCGGAGAUAUUAGGAGGAACACCAGUGGCGAAGGCGGCUUACUGGACUGUAACUGACGUUGAGGCUCGAAAGCGUGGGGAGCAAACAGGAUUAGAUACCCGAGUAGUC